AUCUCUGAGGAGAAAGCAGGGGAUCGCAAGACCUUGCGCUUUUGGAGCGGCCGAUGUCUGAUUAGCUUGUUGGUGAGGUAAAAGCUUACCAAGGCUUCGAUCAGUAGCUGGUCUGAGAGGACGACCAGCCACACUGGGACUGAGACACGGCCCAGACUCCUACGGGAGGCAGCAGUGGGGAAUUUUGGACAAUGGGGGCAACCCUGAUCCAGCCAUGCCGCGUGAGUGAAGAAGGCCUUCGGGUUGUAAAGCUCUUUCAGCCGGAACGAAACGGUUACGGUUAAUACCCGUGACUACUGACGGUACCGGAAGAAGAAGCACCGGCUAACUACGUGCCAGCAGCCGCGGUAAUACGUAGGGUGCGAGCGUUAAUCGGAAUUACUGGGCGUAAAGCGUGCGCAGGCGGUUUUGUAAGUCAGAUGUGAAAUCCCCGGGCUUAACCUGGGAACUGCGUUUGAAACUACAAGGCUAGAGUGUGGCAGAGGGGGGUGGAAUUCCGCGUGUAGCAGUGAAAUACAUAGAAAUAUAAAAGAACACCGAUGGCGAAGGCAGCCCCCUGGGUCAGCACUGACGCUCAGGCACGAAAGCAUGGGGAGCAAACAGGAUUAGAUACCCUGGUAGUCCAUGCCCUAAACGAUGUCAACUAGUUGUCGGGCCUUAACGGGCUUGGUAACGUAGCUAACGCGUGAAGUUGACCGCCUGGGGAGUACGAUCGCAAGAUUAAAACUCAAAGGAAUUGACGGGGACCCGCACAAGCGGUGGAUUAUGUGGAUUAAUUCGAUGCAACGCGAAAAACCUUACCUACCCUUGACAUGUA
This 817-nucleotide ribosomal RNA is filed under the name uncultured bacterium. RNAcentral describes it as "bacterial SSU rRNA". It matches the Rfam family "Bacterial small subunit ribosomal RNA", at positions 191 to 990 of the family's 1533-position model. The record is from RNAcentral.